This 247-nucleotide long non-coding RNA is filed under the name Capsella rubella. Its description in RNAcentral is "long non-coding RNA (CRUB_LNC000790)". Lineage: Eukaryota; Viridiplantae; Streptophyta; Magnoliopsida; Brassicales; Brassicaceae. The record is from RNAcentral.
GCAACAGUUUGAGUAGUGCGUUAUGACACAUAGAAAGUUUGAUAAUUCUGCCUUUAGAAUGAUGAUCUCGUUAUUUGUGUUCUUCCUCCAUUUUUUUCUGUUUUUUUUUUGGGUCCAAUAAUUACUUACUUUUUGUUCCUAUUGUUUAUAGUUUAAAUUUUCUUUUCUUACCAUAAGAUUUUAUGUAAUCGUAAAUUUUAUCUAAAUUGAAUUGGGGUUAUAGACCAAUAUACAUCUCUAGUUAAAG